RNAcentral lists this ribosomal RNA (253 nucleotides) under uncultured bacterium. Its description in RNAcentral is "partial 16S ribosomal RNA". It matches the Rfam family "Bacterial small subunit ribosomal RNA", at positions 524 to 776 of the family's 1533-position model. The record is from RNAcentral.
UACGUAGGGUGCAAGCGUUGUCCGGAGUUAUUGGGCGUAAAGAGCUCGUAGGCGGUCUGUCGCGUCUGCUGUGAAAACUCAGGGCUUAACCCUGAGCUUGCAGUGGGUACGGGCAGACUAGAGUGCGGUAGGGGAGACUGGAAUUCCUGGUGUAGCGGUGAAAUGCGCAGAUAUCAGGAGGAACACCGGUGGCGAAGGCGGGUCUCUGGGCCGUAACUGACGCUGAGGAGCGAAAGCAUGGGGAGCGAACAGG